This 252-nucleotide ribosomal RNA is filed under the name uncultured bacterium. Its description in RNAcentral is "partial 16S ribosomal RNA". It matches the Rfam family "Bacterial small subunit ribosomal RNA", at positions 524 to 776 of the family's 1533-position model. The record is from RNAcentral.
UACGGGGGGACAAGCGUUGUUCGGAUUUAUUGGGCGUAAAGGGCGCGUAGGCGGGCCCACAAGUCGGAUGUGAAAACCACGGGCUCAACCCGUGGCCUGCAUUCGAUACUGUGGGUCUUGAGUAUCGGAGAGGAGUGUGGAAUUCCAGGUGUAGCGGUGAAAUGCGUAGAUAUCUGGAAGAACACCGAUGGCGAAGGCAGCACUCUGGACGAAUACUGACGCUGAGGCGCGAAGGCUUGGGGAGCAAACAGG